This 467-nucleotide long non-coding RNA is filed under the name Ananas comosus (pineapple). RNAcentral describes it as "long non-coding RNA (ACOM_LNC002162)". Lineage: Eukaryota; Viridiplantae; Streptophyta; Magnoliopsida; Poales; Bromeliaceae. The record is from RNAcentral.
GGCACGCCCGGUGGGACUCGAUUUUAGGUAAAUUCACAUUUUUAUUGAAAUUAUGGCUGAUGAUAAUGCCAUGAAUUUGCGCAAUAGGGUUGUUCCUAGAAAUUCUGGGAGUGAUCAACCUAGUGAUUCAGACAAUGCUGGCGAAUGUCAAGCAGUUUUGCCAGUUGAAGGAGAAACUAGUGGACAGUCGGCUUAUCAAGAGCCGAGUCUAACUCAGGCACUCGGCCAGAUGAGCCAAGUCCUGCAAACUUUAGAAUAAAAUAUCCAUCAAAGUACCGCUCGACUAGACGCGGUGCUGGCCGCUAUCACGGCCUAUAAUGAAAAUAUUGUUCGAAUCAGACAAUUAUUUACCCGAAACGAGCAACCUUAUGGGGGGCAACAAGGGCCCCUAAAUGUGCCGGUGCAACAAAAUCCCGUCACGCCGGCGGUCUUACAGGUGCAACCGCAAAUGGCACCUUUCCAGGUUG